This 2299-nucleotide long non-coding RNA is filed under the name Glycine max (soybean). RNAcentral describes it as "long non-coding RNA (GMAX_LNC003604)". Lineage: Eukaryota; Viridiplantae; Streptophyta; Magnoliopsida; Fabales; Fabaceae. The record is from RNAcentral.
AAACUGCAUCCCAAUCUCUUCAUUAGAGACGAAGACAUAGCUUGAAAGUGAGACGAGAAGAAAACAGUAGAACAUGAACAUGCAAGCGGAACCAUAAGAGUGUUAAAAGGCAUACUUUUCUUUAAGAUACUACACCACCUUCCAAAUAACAUGGAGACUUCAGGGGCCGUUAGCUUCUUACAGGUAUGCAAUCUUACUUUCUGACACUAAUUGCUAUUUAUCGAGGAAACAGCAAAUUAGUAUUGAUGACAAUUGUGAAUUGAAAUAGAUCGGGCAAAUUCGUGGGGUGAGUUUAAAACAAUGCUUAAAUGCCGAAUGCAAAGAAAGAUCAAUCAGUUGCAAAACCCAUGUAAUUACAGACCCAUAUUACAGACUGAAACCUAAAACCUAUGUAAUUACAGACCCAUAUUAGUAUUCAACCAAGAAAACAUAUACACAGGCAAAACCCAAACCAAUCCCACUAAAUAAUUACAAUUCUAAAGUUGUAAGUGGCAGUCCAAAUGUAAACCCAGAAGAAAACACCUAAGAAUGUUUAGCACUACCCUUUAGCUAUCUCCCUACUGGCCUACUCUUCUUUUGCCUAAUGGAUAAACAGAUUCCAACAACACACAGAUACCACCCUACAGCUAAUCCUUGUUGACACAAUCGGUGUUACAGUCAACUGUAAUUUAAUACUACAGGAAACCUAAAGAGAACAAUGUUCAUGAAUCACCACCAGCCUCAGCGAAUGGAUGAUUAUGUUGUCGUACAAACUGCCCCUUCACCCGAGGCCGCUGCUCUGCCAGUCUUUUCCGGCUUUGAUAUCGAACCUAUACAAGAAAUUAGAGUACUUGUUAAUAAGAUCUUUAGUGAAACAUGCUAUAGGAGUUUCCAAGCCAACUGCAAUCAUAGAUAUAAAUUCACCAUAAAUAAUCUUAAAGUAGCCUUUUACUAAGUGCUGUUUAUGAUACCUUUUUCUCGAAGCAUCUCUCUUUCCGCUUCAGUCGAAACUUCACUAGUGCUGCUUCUCUUUGACUGGAGCGAUGAGAAUCUGUCACUCUAAAUCCAUCAUAAUUAUGACAACCACUAUCACUGAAACCAUCUGAGGUGUUCUUGGAUACUAUAGCUGAAGUAGCAUGUCCAUCAUUUCCACUGUCCAUGCUUCCAUAUGCACUACUAUUAACAUGAUUUGCAGCAUCAUGGCAUAAAUUAUUACCAGCACUCUGAUCAGCAGCAGGAGACUCAUGCCUUGCGUGAUCUGAAUCAGUAUUAUCCUUUACAUUUUGAUCAAGACAAGUAGCAUCAUUGGAACAGUCAUGAGGUUGAUCUGAGCAGUGACUUUCAGGAUUGGACUGGGAGGAGGUACUUGUGGGAAAGGGAGAACUCUCAUUCUGGCAGACUGGUUUUGGACUCAACAUGGGGUGAAUGCCAGAUUGUGCAUAGAAAACAGAAGUAAAAACAUGACCAUGUCCCUCAGACUUAAGCUUGGAGAUAACUCCUGAAACAGGUAAGAGUCCAUACUGACCAAUGACUGUACUGAUCAUAUUCUCCAGGUUCUGAUUUGAGUCGUCAUACUGACAAUUUCCAGAUAAUUUAAGGCAUUCAUGAGAAUCCCAAUUGAGCCAGUUUACUUUAGGAGAUGUAAUCGAUGGUGGUGAAAAAAGAGGCUGCAACAAUUUACUAUUACUGUACCUGCAUAUAGAAAUUAUUACCCAUCGUCAGAAAAUCUGUGUAAUCACAAUGAUGUUGAGUUUUUGAAUGGGUCAAUAGGAAAAAAAAAUACUUUAGAAUGAAAUACUGGAUAGUGAUUUCUCAUCAUCCAAGGAUGAAAGCUUAAACAUGGCCUUUAUUUUUGGGUGGUAGGGAGAGGGGGAACCAUAAGAGUGCAGAAAUUUAAUGUUUAAAUAAAAAAAGGGCCAAACCAGUGUAUAGUUUUACAUAGAGAUGAUUUGAUCCAUAAACUUAAAGGAAACAGUCCCAAAUGGUUAUUAACAAAGUCUCUUUGAAGAAUUCUUCUUAUUGUUGAUAACUGUGCACAAAAACACCCAUGUAUCUGUGGUCUUCAAUAUUUUAGAUUUUAGAAGCAUAACUAUAUUUACCAUUAUUAGGAUUAUUGGAUCCUUCCAUAGAUUAUAGGCUCUGAAAAAUAUGUUUCAGUACAAAUCACCAUUUAUUCAGCUUUCAUCAAUACUAAUCCUACAUAUAGAACAACAUAAACAAGACUGACGAAAGACAUGAAAAGCACAUGUUAAAAUUCAAAUAACAAAAUUCCAUGAAGAACUUCCUUCUGCUGACUAAAAUUUGUUUCUUUGAUGGUCAG